RNAcentral lists this ribosomal RNA (465 nucleotides) under uncultured bacterium. Its description in RNAcentral is "partial 16S ribosomal RNA". It matches the Rfam family "Bacterial small subunit ribosomal RNA", at positions 338 to 795 of the family's 1533-position model. The record is from RNAcentral.
CCUACGGGUGGCAGCAGUGGGGAAUAUUGCGCAAUGGGCGAAAGCCUGACGCAGCGACGCCGCGUGAGGGAUGAAGGUCUUCGGAUCGUAAACCUCUGUCAGCAGGGAAGAACGGUCACUGUGCUAAUCAGCAGUGAAUUGACGGUACCUGCAAAGGAAGCAUCGGCUAACUCCGUGCCAGCAGCCGCGGUAAUACGGAGGGUGCGAGCGUUAAUCGGAAUUACUGGGCGUAAAGCGCUCGUAGGCGGUAUGUCAAGUCAAGGGUGAAAUCCCCGCGCUCAACGUGGGAACUGCCUUUGAAACUGGCAGACUGGAGUGUGUGAGAGGAUAGUGGAAUUCCAGGUGUAGGAGUGAAAUCCGUAGAUAUCGGGAGGAACAUCAGUGGCGAAGGCGACUAUCUGGCACAUAACUGACGCUGAGGAGCGAAAGCGUGGGUAGCAAACAGGAUUAGAUACCCUGGUAGUC